UCUUCUGGUGUCCUAGGUGUAGAGGCAAAACACACCAAUCCAUUCCGAAUUUGGUGGUGAAACUCUACUGCGGUGACGAUACUGUAGGGGAAGUCCUGCGGAAAAAUAACUCGACGCCAGGAU
RNAcentral lists this ribosomal RNA (123 nucleotides) under Pharnaceum aurantium. The record is from RNAcentral. Lineage: Eukaryota; Viridiplantae; Streptophyta; Magnoliopsida; Caryophyllales; Molluginaceae.